Cherax quadricarinatus is the source of this 1132-nucleotide non-coding RNA. NCBI's taxonomy places the organism in Eukaryota, Metazoa, Arthropoda, Malacostraca, Decapoda, Parastacidae. The record is from RefSeq and is a predicted model, not a curated record.
AAGUGUAUAUACGAACACCGGGAAGUGUACAUACGAACACCGGGAAGUGUAUAUACGAACACCGGGAAGUGUAUAUACGAACACCGGGAAGUGUAUAUACGAACACCGGGAAGUGUAUAUACGAACACCGGGAAGUGUAUAUAUGUACACCUGAAGGUGUGUAUACGUACCUGGAGGUGUGUAUACAUACACCUGGAGGUACAUAUCCCAAAUUUAAGGAUAGACACCUCCAAGAUAUAUAUAGGUUGUGGAGGAUUAUUCAUUGAUGUUCUUGAAUGAUGUUCUUAGAUUUGAUAACUACGGACUUAAUGACCAUUUUGAAGUUGCAAUAAACCGAACAAACUGGCUAUAUAGAGUGAAUGUUACAGGAGGUUUAUCGUGACGAGGCAGUUCCUGCUGCAACCGCAAGCAGCGUGCCAGUGAAUCUUUAUUAUUAUAUUCAUGUUAAGCACUAAAUCCGAUUGGGUCAUACAGCCUUGGUUCAAGAAAUUAAAUGGGCACCUCCAAUUCCUUGGGUCUGGAGAUCUUCAGCAGCAUCAGGAUACGUUGAAAAAGGUGUGUGGGAAGAUGAGAGAUGUUACCUCCAGGCAGGUCCACUGCCUCCCUCUCCCCACAACCAGAGGUGGUAUAUAUAGCGAGGAGCCCCAUAUCCUGUGGAACACCUCCGUCACGAAGCAAGAAGUACGGACGCUCACCGUCUCACAAUGAAGUACUGGGAUGAAUUAAGUGAUCAUGCUAAGUUGUACACUUUCCUUCGUGCACACAUUGGGAGAUCCAAGGCCAGAAGUUGACCAGGGAGGUGAAGAUAGUGAGUGGUUUCCCACAGGUGUCCUGGGUGUGGAAAGUUACCAGGCCAGCAACCACCCACUGAUCCUGAGCACGAGUUCCAACGUUCACUAGGAUUCAUCUGAUGAGCGUCAACAAGGACACUGAUACUUGGUAGGAGAGAUGAGAGAGACAAGGAGGAUGAUGGAACUUCACAGAUACACAACGCAGAGCUCUUCCCCAGACAUUUACUGACCCACAGCCAUUUAUCGACCCCUUCGAUAAUCCCAUCUACCCUUUGGGGUCUAUUGACCACUCUGAGGAACCCUGCUUUCACAUGAUGAGACUUGAAAAUAUCACUGAAAAA